AAUUCUCAACCAUGUCUUGAAUUAGGCAUGGCUUGGACUUGGGGGUUGCUGGCACACGUUGUCAAGCUCUCCUGAAAUGCAUUAGCGAUGUUCAGCAAGCCUGAACGUGCACGGCCUUUUCGACGUGAUAACGAUCGUCGUGGGCUGGAGCGUAGGGUGAGCAGUGAAUCGCUUCUAAUCUAUACCUCAGUUACUAGUCGGUCGUGAGACUGACGAACGCGCGAGGCUUGAUCUUGGACCCCAAGCCUUAGUUACUAGUCGGUCGUGAGGCCGACGAACGCGCAGGGUUAGGACCAUUUGAACUCUUGACCUCAAAUCAGGUAGGACUACCCGCUGAACUUAAGCAUAUCAAUAAGCGGAGGAAAAGAAACUAACAAGGAUUCCCCUAGUAACUGCGAGUGAAGCGGAAAAGCUCAAAUUUUGAAUCUGGCAGUCUUUGCAGGCCGUCCGAG
Molecule: ribosomal RNA, 452 nt
Filed under: uncultured ectomycorrhiza (Basidiomycota)
Lineage: Eukaryota; Fungi; Basidiomycota
Description: eukaryotic LSU rRNA
Rfam family: Eukaryotic large subunit ribosomal RNA (bases 307-452)
Source: RNAcentral